This 464-nucleotide ribosomal RNA is filed under the name uncultured bacterium. RNAcentral's name for it is "partial 16S ribosomal RNA". It matches the Rfam family "Bacterial small subunit ribosomal RNA", at positions 28 to 507 of the family's 1533-position model. The record is from RNAcentral.
GACGAACGCUGGCGGCGUGCUUAACACAUGCAAGUCGAACGGAAAGGCCCAGCUUGCUGGGUGCUCGAGUGGCGAACGGGUGAGUAACACGUGGGUGAUCUGCCCCUAACUUCGGGAUAAGCUUGGGAAACUGGGUCUAAUACCGGAUAGGACAAUCGUUUAGUGUCGGUUGUGGAAAGUUUUUUCGGUUAGGGAUGAGCCCGCGGCCUAUCAGCUUGUUGGUGGGGUAAUGGCCUACCAAGGCGGCGACGGGUAGCCGGCCUGAGAGGGUGGACGGCCACAUUGGGACUGAGAUACGGCCCAGACUCCUACGGGAGGCAGCAGUGGGGAAUAUUGCACAAUGGGCGCAAGCCUGAUGCAGCGACGCCGCGUGGGGGAUGACGGCCUUCGGGUUGUAAACCUCUUUCGACAGGGACGAAGCUUUGGUGACGGUACCUGUAUAAGAAGCACCGGCUAACUACGUG